CCCGCUGAACUUAAGCAUAUCAUUAAGCGGAGGAAAAGAAACUAACAAGGAUUCCCGUAGUAACGGCGAGUGAAGUGGGAAUAGCUCAAAUUUAAAAUCUGGCCUUUGGCCCGAAUUGUAGUCUAAAGAGGUACUAUCUUGAUUAUAGUGUGUGCACAAGUGUCCUGGAAUGGGCCAUCACAGAGGGUGAGAAUCCCGUUUGGGUACACACAUAUUAAUCAUCUACGAGGUACUCUCUAAGAGUCGAGUUGUUUGGGAAUGCAGCUCAAAAUGGGUGGUAAACUUCAUCCAAGGCUAAAUAUUGGCAAGAGACCGAUAGCGAACAAGUACCGCGAGGGAAAGAUGAAAAGCACCUUGAAAAGGGAGUUAAACAGCGCGUGAAAUUGUUAAAAGGGAAACGAUUGAAGCUAGCAUUGUGCAUACGGUUAUUGUGAAUCGAUGUAGUUGUUGAGAGCGAAAGCCUCACUAAUAUUGUCGUUUCACGGAUAAUGUGUGUACGAGUCAAGGCCGUUUCGAUUUGCCUUAGAAUACAUUGGAAAUGUAGUCAUCAUUCGUGAUAACCUUAUAGUCCAAUGAGAUGAGGUGAAUUGGAAGUGGUAGUAUUACAUGUCGUCGCUCAUUACUUGUAAUGUAUAGACUGCAUGCAGACUAUGCAUAUACAUAGUAAUGACAUUGGUGACAAUCCUAUACGUACUUGACGGAAUGGCUUUAAACGACCCGUCUUGAAACACGG
This 733-nucleotide ribosomal RNA is filed under the name uncultured fungus. Its description in RNAcentral is "eukaryotic LSU rRNA". It matches the Rfam family "Eukaryotic large subunit ribosomal RNA", at positions 24 to 664 of the family's 3401-position model. Lineage: Eukaryota; Fungi. The record is from RNAcentral.